AAUAUGCCUGUGCAGACUUUCAAACAUACACUGUACCCGAACAUUUGCCUUGCCAAACCACAUCAUUUUGUUUCUCAUUUUUCAUUUUCUCAAUGACUUCAGUUCCUAGGCCUGCCAUUGGCAACUCAGUCCUCCAACUUUCUCUUUUAGAAUUACCGCUGGAUUGUAAUUUAUCCACAACCUUCUGCUUCUCAGAAUCGAUUCG
This 205-nucleotide unclassified non-coding RNA is filed under the name Hevea brasiliensis (rubber tree). Lineage: Eukaryota; Viridiplantae; Streptophyta; Magnoliopsida; Malpighiales; Euphorbiaceae. The record is from RNAcentral.